GACGAACGCUGGCGGCGUGCUUAACACAUGCAAGUCGAACGGUGAAGCGCCUUCCUUUUUGGUGGGUGUGGAUGAGUGGCGCACUGGUGAGUAACACGUGAGUAACCUGCCCCCUUCUGCUGGAUAACCGCAUGAAAGUGUGGCUAAUACGGGAUAUUCUGGGUCUGUCGCAUGAUGGGUCUGGGAAAGAUAUUGUUUCGGUGGGGGAUGGGCUCGCGGCCUAUCAGCUUGUUGGUGGGGUGAUGGCCUACCAAGGCGGUGACGGGUAGCCGGCCUGAGAGGGUCGACCACCCUACUACGACUGCGCCGCCGAGACUACUACUAGAGGAAGCAGCAGUGAGGAAUAUUGCACAAUGGGAGCCCGGCUGAUGCAGCGCCGCCGCGGGAAGGAUGGACGCCUUAGCGUUAUGAACCUCUUUCGCGAGUGAAGAAGGCCUGCCUCGUUUGUGGGUGGGUUGACGGUAGCUGAAUAAGAAGCGCCGGCUAACUACGUG
This 494-nucleotide ribosomal RNA is filed under the name uncultured bacterium. RNAcentral describes it as "partial 16S ribosomal RNA". It matches the Rfam family "Bacterial small subunit ribosomal RNA", at positions 28 to 507 of the family's 1533-position model. The record is from RNAcentral.